Molecule: ribosomal RNA, 389 nt
Filed under: uncultured Streptococcus sp.
Lineage: Bacteria; Bacillati; Bacillota; Bacilli; Lactobacillales; Streptococcaceae
Description: bacterial SSU rRNA
Rfam family: Bacterial small subunit ribosomal RNA
Source: RNAcentral
AAUUUCUACGAAAGUAGGAAGUUGCCCUUCGGGGAGCCGCAAGACAGGUGCUGCAUGGCUGUCGUCAGCUCGUGUCGUGAGAUGUUGGGUUAAGUCCCGCAACGAGCGCAACCCUUAUCUUUAGUUACCAUCAUUCAGUUGGGCACUCUAGCGAGACUGCCGGUAAUAAACCGGAGGAAGGUGGGAUGACGUCAAAUCAUCAUGCCCCUUAUGACCUGGGCUACACACGUGCUGCAAUGGUUGGUACAACGAGUUGCGAGUCGGUGACGGCGAGCUAAUCUCUUAAAGCCAAUCUCAGUUCGGAUUGUAGGCUGCAACUCGCCUACAUGAAGUCGGAAUCGCUAGUAAUCGCGGAUCAGCACGCCGCGGUGAAUACGUUCCCGGGCCUU